RNAcentral lists this long non-coding RNA (1167 nucleotides) under Papio anubis (olive baboon). Its description in RNAcentral is "lncRNA (ENSPANG00000049526.1)". The record is from RNAcentral. Lineage: Eukaryota; Metazoa; Chordata; Mammalia; Primates; Cercopithecidae.
AGCUAAUGUUUGCAGCUUCUUCAAGCUAUUGUCUCAGUUUUGCUGCUGCUGUGGUUGCCACUUGCUUAUCUGGACUGACUGGUGACCAACACAGUCCCCAGCUCUCUUCUGAAUUCCACUAAAUAAUCAUGAUAGCUGGCUGGGCGCAGUGGCUCAAGCCUGUAAUCCCAGUACUUUGGGAGGCCCAGGUGGGUGGAUCAUGAGGUCAGGAGUUUGAGACCAGCCUGGCCAGCAUAGUGAAACCCUGUCUCUACUAAAAAUACAAAAAAUUAGCCAGGCAUGGUGGCAGGCACCUGUAAUCCCAGCUACACAGGAGGCUGAGGCAAGAGAAUCACUUGACUCUGGGAGGCGGAGGUUGCAGUGAGUCGGGAUCGUGCCACUGCACUCCAGCCUGGGUGACAGAACAAGACUCCAUCUCAGAAAAAAAAAAAAUCAUGAUAGCCUCCCAACUUGGUGUAAUGUUAAUGUGUGUCCUAUUGUGCAUGCUGGGACCAUUUUCAGUGAGAGAUUUACAGUGGCACCGACUCAGCAAAGACUGACUUUUGUGAUAAAAUGAAUUAAUAUUUAUUUAGUGCUUUGCAGGUUAAAAUUACUUCUUAUAUAUUAUCUCAUUUUAUCCUUAUGUUAACCCAGUGAAGUAGAUACAGCAAAUGUUUUUAUCUGUUUUUUUAUUCAUAAGAUUAAAGAAUAUUGUUUGAGAAUGUUCUUACACUUUAAUUUUUUUUUUUUCCCUGUAGGUGAAAUGUCCAGCUUUUAAGUGAAUUGGUAUGGUAUGGUGGCUAGUUCCAAUUGAAAUGGCUAAGCUUCAUCCCUUUGAACUCUCAACUUUUCAGGAACACCUCUGUGACCAAAUGUGUGUGGUGUUUUUCCUAUACACCAAGGAGGCAAUCAGUUCUCAGCAGAUUCUCCAGCGGACACGAGGUUAGCCCGGAUGCGUCUCAGCUUUGAUGGAAAAGACGGCUAGCUGGCAAUUACUGAAUACUCAUAUAAUCAGAGGAGAACUUGUGAAAUCAUCCUGGGAAAACAUUCUCUAGAGGAUAAGAAUUUUGGUAGCAGUUAAAUGUCUAGACUCUGGAGUUAUUACUGAAGGUAACACUAUUUUUCAAAGGCUGUUGUUGCUAAAUUUAGUUCAAAAUAUUUCAUGUCAGCCUGUGAUAUGUUGUACCU